AGAUGGAGAUCACAAGAAUCAACACUGCAAAAACAUUUUAGACGAGGCGAUCAAGCUUACUUUAGAGCGUCGUGUACUUUUUUCGAGUGUGUUCAUCACGUCCCGAGUCGACGAACGUCAUGCAUUCCGUCGAGUACGUCAUCGUAUCUAUACAUGUGAGUACCGGUACUAAAGAGAGCAGAGAGUACCACGACGAAAUAACCGGGAGCAGAAUAUUAAAUCGGAGUGCCUGGACGCCGGACGCAGAUAGCGAUACAUCAUGCACUUUCAGUUGCCCCAAAUCAUACAGGUCUUUGAUUUUAACGAACAGUUGAACACAGAGAAGCUACAGUCGAUAUUUAGGGAAUACUAAUGCUAAAGGAGAUCGCCAGGCUGUUCGUUAAUCUCAAACAUUCUUCGGGAAGCUUAUCUCGCAGAAAUCACGGCGUGAUCUCGCUAAUCUUCGAGUUAGGGUCGCGCGACUUCAGUGUCGCUUAACUGCUCGCGAGUGCCGUUUUGAAAGCCGGAAAUGAAAGAUUUGCUAGACACAAGGGUCCCGGUUCCCAUCGCGCAGGGCUGUGGGCGUCGACGAGUGAGUGUGGCCUGUUCCGGUCGAUGCGUUUAUCUCUCAUAUGCUCGAUCGAUGCAAAUGUGCGGCGCAUUUACGCGAUGAAGUUCAUCACGUAGCUCUUUACAUUGUUGCGCCGACACGCGUCGCGUCGUUACAGUUAUGGUUUAACGCAUGUUAGCCGAAGCGCAACGGGGCUGUUAUAGGAAGAGGGAUUUCUAUUAAGUCGAUAACCUGGGUUAUACAAUUGAACGACAUAUAAAUGUGCAGUUUUAAUGGAACUCGUUCAAUGAAGCAAUAUUAUCAGCUCGAUAAGUCAACGCUUAUUUCGACGUAAAACAACCCAACAUGUUUAUUAGUGGAACGCAAAGCACGACCUGCGGUUUCGACACCUUCGAUCGAGCCGAUAGAACUCACUACAGAGCGACGCAGCACUGUCGGCUCCCGAAUUAUUCGAGUGAUUCGCGAAGGCGCAGAUCGUAGUUGCGCAAAUAGUUCCGGGAAAAUAAUUUCGGGACAACAAUGAAACGCUGGAGGAAUUCUGCGGUUCGUCGGUGUCGGCAAGUUUAGGGCGUGAAGUACACACGUGGUGGAUCCGCAGUGUGUGGCCCGCCGAAAACAGGAGUCUGCAAUUAUGCGACCGCGCGCUGAGGCCCGAGACGCAUCAACGAAGAGGAAUACUGGCUGGCCUGGCGGUGGUCGGCACGGUUGGUGAACGUCAAGUCGUUGUGUCGUCGUCGUCUGCGCCGAAACGGACCCGAGUCAUUAGGAAACCUCGCAGGAAAACGCGCAUACAAUGUGAAUAUACGACGCGAUGCACCAAGGAGUCUCUCCCGCGAGUUUGGUAUUAUUUUUACUGCCGAAUGACUCUUGUUUUAGCAAGUCAGAGGCUAUAACCUGCCAGCAAGUCUUUCUGCUUCUUUUAAUCCUCAUUUUGAACAAUUAAUCGAUUUUUAAGAAUUAUAAUUAGACCGAUUUUAUUUAUAUGAUAAUCAAGUUUUUACAUACAAAGAAAUAACAUAAUAAUAUCAGCAAUAUCUCAGUGACUAAUCUAAAUUUAGCUAAAAGGCUAAUUAUUCUGCUGUCAUUGCUAAGGACUAUCGCAGUUAAAAUGUAUUUUCUGUAAAAUAUGAAAUUAUUAAUUCGAAUUAAAAGCGCAUAUUUGUUUGUCAAAUAGUCAAGGAAAAGUGGCAGCUAUUUCGGCUCUAUAAGGAAUUAAUUUUACAGUUUGUCCCGCGUAUUACGCGCAUUAAUCCACCAAAAUUUUUUUCCUUUCAUUAAUAUUUUAAUAAUUACCAUGGCAGAAUUUCUAUACAAAAUAGCACAGGAUUUUUUUAUUAUAUUCAAUUUAUUAUAUUCAAUUUAAUAAGUUCUCCCUGCACAUUUUUUUUACGAGCACAGGAAUUCAGACACCCUAUAUAAUUAAUGGAAAUA
Long non-coding RNA from Odontomachus brunneus, 1981 nucleotides. RefSeq lists it as uncharacterized. NCBI's taxonomy places the organism in Eukaryota, Metazoa, Arthropoda, Insecta, Hymenoptera, Formicidae. The record is from RefSeq and is a predicted model, not a curated record. The transcript is spliced from 4 exons.